GAUUAUUACUCUGCUCCACAUAUGCCCCACCUCGCUGCUAAUCAUAGAAGGACUAACAUUAAACAGAAAUAGCUGUCAUCGUCGUUUCAUCGACUGAAUAACGCUAACAAAGUUUUGAUGGAUGACGACUCCAGUCAAGAUUCAUUUGGGCGUUAAUAGUGGUGCCACAGAAAUGCAUAAAUCCCAGUCUGAGGAUGUGAAAAGCUCCGAACAGAAUGUCACAUGUUGUCAUCUCGAGACUACGUUAGAAACGGCGGAUGGCCACGAGCGUGAGGUCCAGCUGUGACGGCCGCAUGCUGGAGGUCAUCCACCGCGCUGUUGGCUCCCAGAGCAUCCCAUGCUGCAUUCCCAAGUUCCUAAAACAUACAGACAGACAUCUUUGAUUCACAGACUGCAGAUUCUGUCUGUUCAUUUCAGAGAAGACAAUCACAAGAAGAAAGACCUGCAGGUUUGGAACUACAUGAGGGCAGAGCUGAAGCUUGGAGCAGCUGAGGAUACUCACAAGUAAUAGUGUGCCCUUUCUCCCGCGGCCAAAGUGGACACUUCAGUAAUCCCGAGACUCAAUAAUCCUCGCAGACCGGGGGGUCGAGAGUGUGGAAAC
Long non-coding RNA from Megalobrama amblycephala (Wuchang bream), 601 nucleotides. RefSeq lists it as uncharacterized. The record is from RefSeq and is a predicted model, not a curated record. The transcript has 5 exons. Lineage: Eukaryota; Metazoa; Chordata; Actinopteri; Cypriniformes; Xenocyprididae.